This is a long non-coding RNA of Paramacrobiotus metropolitanus, 1463 nucleotides long. RefSeq lists it as uncharacterized. NCBI's taxonomy places the organism in Eukaryota, Metazoa, Tardigrada, Eutardigrada, Parachela, Macrobiotidae. The transcript has 4 exons. The record is from RefSeq and is a predicted model, not a curated record.
CUCGCCAAUUUUAAAGGUUUGGAGGCGAGAUCUGUUCAAACAGAGAACCCUGCUUAAUAUACUGGAUGAUUUGACUGUUAAAAAUUGCCAGCUGUCAUGCAACUAAAAUUGUUCGCGCUAUUUUGAAAACGGUGAUGCCCCAGGUUUUUGUUUAGCAUUUUUAAAUUUCCCUUUUUCUGUCUGUAUCCACUUGAUUAAUUAAAAACUGGAGUAUUGCACGGUUCGAUGAUGAAGUCAUCAUCAUCACAUUUCUCAUCUGCACGUAUUGUGUGCAUACUUACAUUAAUUUUAUCUGCAGGCAGCUUUGAUUUGCUGGAUGAUAAGGGUAUGGAAAGUUAGUACGGUUGGCCAGAAGACGACAAAAGAAGCGUGAAGGAUUGCGGAGAACCGUGAAGUGGAAAGCCACGGCCAAACUGGAGCAGGUAUUUUUCGCGCGUUGUCACUGUGAACGGUUGGUGGAUAUUCAGAUUCUGGCGGGAUGGAAGCAGUUCCUUCGAUGCGCACAGCGCUGCGCUCUUUGUCAGCAUUGGAAAACGCUGAUGUUAUUGAUCCGCCAAAUGGUUCUGGCUCCGUGGCUUCUGUGCGAGCUGAGCACACAGAGAACGGUCGGUCGGUGUAUCGUCUGGGCAACGAAAAAUUUGUGCAUGUCGAUCAUCAGUGGGAAGAAGCGCGAGUUUUUAUUAGUGAAUGGAAGGGAGAACCGGCCGGGCAGUGGAAACAGACGUGGGCGAAAACAAUUAGCCUCAACAAGAGACGAUUCAUGCGCUUGGUAUCGUUAUUGCUGACGGGAAAAUCCGAUCCGGAUUAUCCCAGUGGAAAUUUGCCUCCUUUAUUCUUACUGGACCAAGGAGUGUACUUCCACUGGAGCCGUCUUAACGUGCCCAACCUUUGCCGUUAGCAGCGGUCUCAGGAAGGUGAUUUGUUGCCCACGAGGAACGGAAUUUCAUUGAGCGAAAAGUGUUGUGAAGCGUUGAAGGAACUUAUACAGGAUUCUACUCUCUUCCAACAUGUUGUUAGUGUGGACGAAACCGUUGAGGAUGUGGAUCCUGACAAGAAAGUUCUUUGUCAGGAGAAUUUGUGCGACGCUGUUACUGAUGCUAUGGUGAAACUGGUACAUGAACGAUGCCCUAAUUUCUACGACGUGUUAACGGAUACCGAAUGGAGCGACGCUUUUCACCGGUUUUUGGAUGCUCAUUUUGUGCAUGGUGUUUUGUUUGGUUUCGAAGAACUGAGCAUUACGCAAGCUUUUGGAUUGGAUGUGGCAAAGUAUUUGGAUUCACAUGAAAAUCAAAUCCGCAUGCAGGUAAACUGCUUUCUGAACCGUGUGUAACUUUAGAAUCUUGUAAUGCCUCUUAUGGUUGUCACUACAUAUAACAUGGCUUUAUUUCAGUUCGUUACUAUAACCAAAUGAAGGCUCUGCCUUGUUUAUUUCAUUAAUCGUUCACAUAUCUGACGGAGGAAAG